Molecule: long non-coding RNA, 458 nt
Organism: Rhodamnia argentea
Lineage: Eukaryota; Viridiplantae; Streptophyta; Magnoliopsida; Myrtales; Myrtaceae
Exons: 2
Source: RefSeq, a predicted model, not a curated record
AUAUUCCACCCACUAGCAGCAUCCGAUGGAUCUCUCCGACAAGGCAUCCGACAUAACGGCCAGAGUAGGGCUUGCCAGUGGAGCCUGGCUGCCUGAGGUGGUCGAGGUAGCCCUUCAAUUUCUCAUCCCACAGGAUCUAAGGUGAAAGAGUACACCCCGCUCCCUAUUGAGAGCGUGAAGACUACCGAGCUAGAGUAGAGGCAAUAUCCAGCCGCAAGCAAGUUGCUGCCCGGUUGGCAGACGCUGAUGAUGCACCUCUCUUUGGCUUGGUCGAGCUGUGCCAUAGCAGUGUUCAGUAAUUCAGCAGGUGGGAUCAAGAGGUCAAAUUGCAGUAUGACAGGUAUCUGCUGUACUCUAAAGCAGACUAAAAUCUGAAUAGCUUCCAAGAUGUUGGGGACUCGCUGACAGGGUGCAGAUAAGCUUAUUUGAUUUUGCUUUAGGAAUCAAAAGCAUACUUG